RNAcentral lists this ribosomal RNA (612 nucleotides) under Triticum aestivum (bread wheat). RNAcentral's name for it is "partial small subunit ribosomal RNA". Lineage: Eukaryota; Viridiplantae; Streptophyta; Magnoliopsida; Poales; Poaceae. The record is from RNAcentral.
AUGUUGGAAAUCAUAGGCAACAUCCACCAGGACAAUGACAAUAAAGAUUGCUGGCAAUUUCUCUGGAAAGGAAACAAAUACUCCAACAGAAAGAUUUAUCUGCACCUUAUUGGAAACCCACCAAAGGCAGCACCACCAUUUCAGUGGAUUUGGAAAUCAUGCAACUUGCCCAAACAAAAAAAAUUCUUCUGGUUGCUUCUGCUUGAUAGAUUAAAUACUAGAGAUCUACUAAUCAGGAAGAAUUUUCAAAUAGAAAACAGGAGGUGUAUCCUAUGUGAUGAUGAACCCAAUGAAUACCUACAACACCUCUUCUUUGAAUGUGACUUCAGCAGAAAUUUCUGGGCUGCAAUAGGUAUGGAAUGGAAGACAGAUCUUAAUACUAUUGAAAUGCUGAUGGAGGGCAAAAGCAGAGAUAAUAGCUAGGGCUUUAAGGAGAAGAUGAUAGCAGGGUGUUGGAGCAUAUGGAAGCACAGGAAUGGCAUUAUCUUUGACAACAAUGAUAAAAGUAUGACUCACUGCUUAUCAAGUUGCAAAGAGCAUUUUAGCACCAUUAUCAUGAAAGCAAGACCUAGUUUAAAGGAUGUGAUGUAAUCCUGGUUGGAUACAUUGUAA